This 5378-nucleotide small RNA is filed under the name Rattus norvegicus (Norway rat). RNAcentral's name for it is "uncharacterized LOC108348514". Lineage: Eukaryota; Metazoa; Chordata; Mammalia; Rodentia; Muridae. The record is from RNAcentral.
UCUGUUGUUUCAAGACUCCUCAUUGGCUGACCAUUUGCCCUACCAGGAGAUGUAUUGUUUUAAGAGGCCUCACUGGAUGUUCCUGCACCCCCCCUCCCACCAUGGGUCUGAUUAAUUUAGACCAGACCCCUGAUUGAACGUUCAGCCACAGACACCCCCUUUUCUGGAUCCACAAUAUCCAGAACCCAUUUCAAGCACGCAUCAACUGGAGACGAUUCCUUCAUUCAUCAGAAGGAUUUGCAUGCCAAAGAAGAAGUCCAGCAGUAUGAAAAAGCUCUAAUAGGUCCUGCUGAUUUUCUGAAACGCUGGUGGCAGAACAUGAAGAAAUGAAUUAUGGCGGAAAUCAAAAUUCCUGUUAAGUAACGAAAACAAAUUAAACGAGGUCCACCGCAUCAGACUUUCAUCUGGACUGGAUUUGGAAUCACCUUAGUUAGAGACUGAUGCACGCCUCUAUUGGGCCAUCCUUUAAAGCCCAUGAACCCACCCUGAAUGGAAGGGGCAUCAUUGCCCAGCUUAGAAUCUAGAAGAAGGAAGGAGGCCGAAUGCAGGAAAGCUAGCCCACAGCUGGUAGUCCAACAGUUCCUGGUCGAACUGUCCUGAUCUACCACACUCUCCUGAAAGCCCGGGACCCAGUGGCCAUUGGCUGAGCUCACUAAAAGUACACAAAAGACCUUUCAUAAGUCGUGUUUGCUGGGGUUUGCUCUUGUUAUAGUGACAUAAGGAAUGGAGGUACACUGGGGUACCACAGGGCUUCAUUGUCCCGUGGUGGAAGAAGCCUGGUGGCGUAUAUCUGCAUCUGCAGCUGGGGGCAAGGGCAGAUGUUCCCUUCCAGCUCCUGUGUUACAGAUGCAGAUCCCAGCUCAGAUGGAGGCACUCGGACUCUCUGGGGUCCUCUGGGGCUGUGGCUCUUAACUCAAUGGGCAGUUAGAGGAGAUCUGAUCGUUUAGGAAAAAUACAGACACUUGGAUCUGUGUCAGACCCGGACCUCAGUCUGCAGUCAAGCACUCAUGAGAGGAUCUGUAGCCUUUCUGUAGAUCGUUUAUAUGAAGUCCGUUUUCCCAUGUAGCCUCUGUCUCCCGUGUGCAGCCAGCCAGGAAGGGUUCCAGGCUUCUGCUGCCAUGGCUACUUUGUCACACUAGUCCCAAGAACCUCCUUCUCCACUGAUCUCCCAACACCCUGCCUCAGCUGUGGUGACCAAGGAUCUCAACUGUUCUCCAGGCAAGGCUUUGGAAGUAACCUUCCAGGGUCCUGUGUCACAAACAUGGCACUCAACUUCUUCUGUCGAUGGACUUUCGGAGGAGGGUUUGCGGGGAGGGGUAAUUUGGACUAGAUGAGGGUGAAGUUAUCACCAAGGUGUCUCUCAGCCAGGACCCUCCCUGAUUGGUCUAUUCAACCCAAGCCCCACCCGCACAGGUUGAGGCAGGUGAGGUUCCAGGAACCUCAGCUCUUACAGUAAAUGGAAACAUUUUAACAGUGCAACAAAAUGGCUCCUGCCUUCAAAGUGAAGCCGGGCUUGGUCCUCCCACCUCUACUUUUGAUUUAUUAAUAGAGAGCGAUUAUGCAAUCACAAAUAAGAUUUUUGUAAUAUUUUCAUCUUAAUUCUAAGUCUGUGGGAAUUACCUUCCCAGACUUAUUUAUUUGCUUUCACAAGCCACAUGUUUCCAGGGUGCCUUUUACAUCUUCUUAACCUACUGGAGAAAAUGAGUGAUGCUCUCCGUCAGCUGAACAGUGUCCUGUAAUUUAACGUUAAUAUUAGGGCAGGAGAAGACUCCCCCAAAGCCCAGUGACUGCCAUUGGCUCACACUGCUUCACGAGCUAAGGGCAGGGCCUGGACUUGAAGUUUUUCCAAAGAAGUAUUUUUUCUGAGAGGGUGCUGGCCUCCUCUUUAAUUCACUCGAUAAACACACACAGGGAACAUGUUAAAUUUUUCUGUGCUUCCUAACUGCCUCAUUGUCUUCUGUAAAUCUGCUUCGCAACCACUCAAACAUGUACUCCUCGAAAGGGCCCGAAGAAACAGAGUUAACCCAACUUAGGAUGCAGUCACUGGUCUCUGCUGUACCCCAGUAAAAUACAGCUUGCUUAAAACUGGCUCAAAAGUUGUAGCAGUGGUCUAUUCUCACCCGGUGGGACUAACAGGUGGACAGGAAGUGAAGUGAGGAAGGCAGAUCUUCUUCAGGGAAAAAGUUCAGUACAGAGCUGGGCCCUGUUCCACACUAUGUCCCAUUGUAUACAAUUUUGCCUAAGGAUGUUCCUUGCAGUGACUCCUUGGUCUGGUACAUGAGGUCUGGCUUUUGCUACUCUGUUAAUACUGGGAUCUCACUAGAGCUCCUCUUGGGUAUCCUGUUUUGCCCUGUGUCAUGGAAAUCCUGUAGUUUUGGAUCUACAGGACCACAAACUCCAGCAGUUCAUGGCAGGGAUAGGUGUUGGGUAGGCUGAUUCAAAGCCUUGGAUCAGGAUCUGAGAGGUAUCUGAAUUGGUUCUCCCAUGUGCUUGCCCUCAGGGCUGGCUCACCUGCCAUCCUGGGCCAUCUCUACGGUGCUUCCCAGGUGAAGUGCAGGGCCCGCUCUCCUGAGUGCUGCAGCAAGUGAGGAGCAGGACAGCGCUCUGGCUCUCAUGACCCCAGCUCUCCUGCCCUGAGUAGGUGGCAAGAGGAGAGCAUCUGUCCCUCACCCACGCUACUGUGCAGCAGACAAGUUGCAGAGCAGGCUCUCCCAUGCUUACCCUCAGAAAUGGCUCACUUAGGCCCCUGCCAUCAGGAUCAGAUAUAAUGUGCUGCCCAGGUGAGAUACAGUGCCCGCUCUCCUGCUCUGAUGACCUCAAGGGUGGCAUCCAGGGGUGAGGUAGGGGACAUCUGACUGCAUGGUAGACAAAUGGCAGGACCCGCUCUCCUGGGCUCAUGGCCUGGGGGACGGCUCACCCAUGCCAUCCUUGGAAUCAAAGUCAACUCUACUGUGCUGCCUAGGCAAGGUGCAAGGUCUGCUCUCCUGAGUGCUACAGCUGGGGAGGGGCAGGGACAGCUCUCCUGUCCUCGUGACCCAGAGGCAGAUCUCCUGCCUGCCAUAAGUGCUGAGGGGUGAGCCUAGAGGAGGGUAUCUCUCCCUUGUCUGUACCACUGCACAGGACAUGAGUGGCAGGGCCAGCUCUCCCACUCUCAUGACCUUGGUGCAGGCCUCACCUACAACUCAAAGCUCCCAUACUUUGUGGGAUGCUCUCCCUCGUACUGCAGCUGACUAGGGUCAGCUGUCCUGCUCUCACAGCCCUGGGGCUAGCUCUCCCAAGAUGCCCAACUGGGGGAAGCAGUUCUGUACAACCCUCAGACAUCAACAUGUCCCCAGGCGGUAGCCCAGCCCGGGGAUAUCUGCCUGGCUUUUGGUGAUAACAGAACCUUGCUGCUGCAGGGCCACAGACCCAGAUGUGGCCCCAGGCGGCAGCACAGGCCAGGACCCCACCAUGGUCCCAGGUGGCAUCACGAGUCACUCACAUCAGGCUGUUCCUCACUACCUUCGAGUUUCCAGCUGUGCCUUUUUUCAUUGUGCCCACAUCCUUCUGUUUCUCGUUCUUUCCCAUUUCUCCACCACUUAGUUGCUUCUCUUAGUGACAUCCAGGGUCUCUGAGUGGCUGAGGUGGUCUCAGGAGUACUGUGUCCCACUUGUGCAUUAUGGCACUAGGCAGGGGUCAUCUUGGGCUUGAUCCUUGCCCAGGCCUGCCCAAGUAGCCCCAUGGGAGGGAGGAUCAUCAGCCUCAGGUUCAUUCCCUUCUAUGGCCGAGCUCCAGGCAGGGUUCUAGUCUCCUGCUUGCUCCCCACCCUGCCCAGACUGCCCGCCCAGGCCUAUGCAAUGCUGAACUGGUAGUUUCCUCAAGCUUGCUUUUCACAAAGAAUGUUAGGUCACUACUCAUUCAGAUUUCCACAGGUCAGAACCCUGAGUGUAGACAUAGCCUCUCUUCUCUGUGUCACCAAGAGACCCACAUGUGACAGAAAAAUGACUUUUUAGAAAGGAAUUCUAGUAUUUUGGUACAGAGUAAAGUUUCAAAGGGAGUUUUAUUGCAGAAGGCAACCAGAGCCGUGUAGGAGGAUCCUGAGUUCCAAAGUAUAGACAGGUACAUGCAUGGUCUAAAGCAGUUGUUCUCAACCUGUGGGUCUCGACCCCUUGGCAUCAAACGACCUUCUCACAGGGGUCUCCUGGGACUACCGGGAAACACAGAUAUUACAUUGUUACUCUUAACAGCAAAAUGAUACAAAGUAGCAAUGAACAAAAUUUUAUGCCUCGGGGACCACCAUAACACGAGGAACUGUAUUAACUGGUCUCAGAGUUAGGAAUGUUGAGAACCCAUGAUCUAAGUUGUCAUGGAAACCUGUGACUUGCUAGCUAACAAGCCCCUGCCACCAACCUUCUGUCUCCAGGUUGAUAUUCUGUGCCCCAACUGUGGUUCCUCACAUAGAGAAGGCCCUGUUUCCCUCUCCGAGGAUACAUGGGGCCGCAGAGCUUACAGGAUGUAACUUCCAAGGAAAUCUAGACAGGUUGUGCCUGAACUGUUUUGGAACUGUGAAGAGAAGGAAAGCACCCUGACAUCCCUUCUCCUCAGGCCCCUCAUGAGGUGUAAAGACAAGAAGUGUCAAGUGCCCUUAGCCUUGUGUCUCCCCGUGGAGUAUUUUAGCAGCUGCCGGGACCCCACUGGAAUCCUGUCAUACAUGAAUUACUGUCUCAAGGCUCAGGGACAAAUGUUUUAUUCAGAAGCAUUGAAUGGAAUUUUGCUUUAUAGUCCUCCAGAUGAUAUGUGCCUUGGAAGCAGACAGAUAAUAAAUCAACCUCUGGGUCUUGAGAAAAAAAAUAUCCGUUCCAAGUCUAGAUAUGGGAACAGCACUUCCGUGGGUUUGGCCCUUUUGGAAGACAGUGAGUUCAACUUCCGGAGAAUGUAAAGCGUGAGGAAAACAUCGACGAUGAGUACAGGAGAAUAAUUAAAUCCGGCAUGAGAUUAGUGUUUGUGAGGUUACCAAAAAUCACAGGCUAGACCAGAGGGGGCUUACAACAGGCUGGCUCUCCCCAUCCCAACCAGAGCUCCUGCCUGGGGGGUGAGGCUGGGGUGCUGCUUGUGUCUGUGAGUUUGCAGAAAUUCCAGGCAAAGAUCAGUUCUAAGCGAACCUUGGAUUUAAAAUGGACUAUUUUUCUUCCGAAAAAUACACCCACGGAUUACUGACACCGAAGGCAAGAAACCGCUCUGUUUAAAAGUAGGAGAGGGAAAAAACAUCUUGCAGAGGGGAGCUUGUCAGAAGCUUCCUCUUGAAUGAUUAGUCUGUCUGAUACCUGGCUUGUUCUUGUCUGAGUUCCUCCUCAAAGUCUUUCUGAAGUAGCUCCAGGGCUUUGUAGUGAAAGUUGCCU